ACAGAGGCCACGAGCGUUAGGCGGAAUCACUGGGCUUAAAGCGUGUGUAGGUGGAUGGGUAAGUACCUUGUGAAAUCCCACGGCUCAACCGUGGAACUGCUUGGUAUACUGCCUGUCUUGAGGCACUCAGGGGCGAGCGGAACAAAUGGUGGAGCGGUGAAAUGCGUAGAUAUCAUUUGGAACGCCAAUGGUGAAAACAGGUAGCUGGGAGUGUGCUGACGCUGAGACACGAAAGCCAGGGGAGCAAACGGGA
RNAcentral lists this ribosomal RNA (253 nucleotides) under uncultured prokaryote. RNAcentral's name for it is "partial 16S ribosomal RNA". It matches the Rfam family "Bacterial small subunit ribosomal RNA", at positions 525 to 777 of the family's 1533-position model. The record is from RNAcentral.